Callithrix jacchus (white-tufted-ear marmoset) is the source of this 3040-nucleotide non-coding RNA. NCBI's taxonomy places the organism in Eukaryota, Metazoa, Chordata, Mammalia, Primates, Cebidae. The record is from RefSeq and is a predicted model, not a curated record.
AGAAAGCAACUCAGCGGAUACAGACCAGACAUCGCUGUGAGGGCAAGAAAUAGCUAAAACAGGAGCCGUGAGCGCUCAGAUGGGAUCGAUAUUCAAUAUUGGAGGGCUUUGCAGUGCAAGCAGCACGAAAAUGCUUCAGAAAAGGAGCGUCUGCUUAAAGGCCAUGCAUCUGUGACGUGGGGACACUGCAGUGAGGCUCUUCUCCGAACCCUUGGGGCUCAGGACUCUGGACGUCGCCCCCAGACAGGCCACUGCGCCCUGUGUGUCAAGCGCUUGCUCAGGCAGUUUGGGCUCUUCCUGCUCCUGUCAUAUUGGGGUUCAGGGUGCCCUCAGCUCCCCUGAGAGGGCGUUUCUUCCAGGUUCUUGGUCUGCUGCCCUCUCAAGAAUGAGAGAGGGGGGCCAGGCAUGGUGGCUCACGCCUGUAAUCCCAGCACUUUGGGAGGCCGAGGCGGGUGGAUCAUGCGGUCAAGAGAUCGAGACCAUCCUGGUCAACAUGGUGAAACCCCGUCUCUACUAAAAAAAAAAUACAAAAAAUUAGCUGGGCAUGGUGGUGCGUGCCUGUAAUCCCAGCUACUCUGGAGGCUGAGGCAGGAGGAUUGCUUGAACCCAGGAGGCGGAGGUUGCGGUGAGCCGAGAUCGCGCCAUUGCCCUCCAGCCUGGGUAACGAGCGAAACUCUGUCUCAAAAAAAAAGAAAAGAAAAAAGAAUCAUUUCCCGCUCCUCCCGAGGACGCGCUUCGCCGGAUCCUAUCCAAGGCUUGUUCUGGUUGUCUUUACUCUUUUCUCCCCACUUCUCCUCCCUCUCCCUAACGUUCGGGAUAGAAAGAUUUCAGGCCUUAUUUAUGUAACUCCAGAGAUCAACUUUCCUUUAGGACAUCUUACGUCGGCCAUAGAGUGCCGCCUGAGGCCUUUGCUGCCUUUGGGGUCCCCAGAGGGCUCAAGCAGACCUGUGGGCGGGGCUUCUCCUACCGGGAACUGCCCCUCCAGGGCACUGGAGGGGAGGCCGAGGCCUGUGAUGCCCAGAAAAGCCAUGUCUAGCCCUGACAGUUCUGUACCAACAACAGCUGCAUGGCCCAGUGUGGGGUGUGUGUGUGUGUGUGUGUGCGCGUGCGUGCGUGUGUGCGCGCGCGCGGGUGUGUAUGUGUGGUGUGCGUGUGUGUGCGCGCGCGCGCGCGCUACCAGCAGGGACCAGCAUCUUUCACUGGCAUCAAAAGACUGACCCAUUUUCAGUAACAACCUUUUUGCAGCUGCCGGGCCUUUGUUGGGUUUGUAUAGGAGACCAGUUGAGCCGGCUUUACGUGUGAGAGAAGUGGAGAAGUCUCAGCAGGUGGGAAGGAAGCUUGGCCAAGGCUCUCCGGUGAGCUGCCCCCUCCUUUCUUCCUGGAAAAUUUCCAGGACCCCAUCUGAAGCAUCCCUUCCCAGGACUGACUGUGGUUUGUCUCUUUGCUGGGUUAGGUAGGAGGAAGGUUGGGGGGGAUGACCACAGCUGAUUUUUGUCAUCCCUCAGUCCAGAUUCCCCACUCCCUCUGCUGGCACCUCUGCUGGGCGUGGCCACCCCCCUGGCAGGAGGACGCAGCCCCUCAUCCCAGCCGCUUUACCCUCUUAAGGCUGCAACUGCUGUGUUUGUCCAUUUCCCACCAAAACCUGGCAGAAGCGUACCAAGUGAUGCCUGAGAAGCCACCUGUGUGCCAGGGUGAUUCUCCUCCAUCCCCGUUCCAGCAGCCCCUCCUACUACUGAGGAUCAGAGCUAGUCACCCCUGCUGGGACACAGACUCCUUUCUUUGCCUGCUGGUCUUUUGGCACAGAGCCUGAAGUGACCAGUGACAGCCAUAGCUUCUUGUCCACUGGAUCCUGUAUCGUGUCCCGUGGUGGCAGUGUUCCCCCUCUGGGGAACAGGCCUCUAGACCUGCAAAGCCCAACAUGGAGGGGACAAGAAGUUCUGAUUCUCUAAUUGGAUCCCCGGAGGUCAUGGUUAGGGGGCUGUUCCUGCUUCUGCUCCUGGGUCCCCAGACCCACGCAUUUUCUCAGCUGGACACAGCAACUUCUGAUGGUCGCUGACUUAGGGUAUAUUCUGCGUUUCGAAGGAUGGAAUUCCCUCUUAAAAGGGCAUUUUCUCCCAGCUGCUAGGUACCUCAGUAGAGCCCACAAGAGGACCACUCCAUCACUCACCCAUAUUGGCAGCAUCUGCAUGGCAUGGUGAGGAAUGGGCCCAGGGGACCCAUGGUCAUGUGCCCAACACCAUGGCUCCUUUGCUGUAAAGUGAGUUUUUUUGGUCCAAAGCAAUGUUAUGUGGUAUUCAAUAUCCAUUGAUCAAACAUUCUACAAACCUCCUGAUAGUGUUCAUAAGAGCAGGAAGGAUAAAUCCACACUUGGAGUAUGUCUUGGGUCAGUCAAAAUGAAUCACUGCCUCACCUUUAGGGCGAUAUAACUGACUUCAAGUCCAGUGGUCAACCUUCCACGGAGUGGCCAGUUGAGUCUCCAGGUGACGCUGUACUGGGAGCUCAGCUUCGGUGUCUGCUGCUGUCUGGCUGGAUACUACGCAGUGUUGGAACUGGAUCAGCCUUGCUGAGCUGCAGGCCGUGCCGCUGAGCCCACCCCAUCCUGCCUCCUUGCCACCAUUGCUACUCACUGAAUGGCCAAUGACCGAGCAGGCUGGCUCCGAAUGGUCAAACCAUCUUCCUACACGGCUGCUGGGUGUCUUCUCGUGGUGGUGCUCUCUGGUGGGUGUUAGCAUGGGACCUUCACACGCAUGCCUGUGCCCAUGGUUCCAGCUGCAUGCAUGACCCUUCCACUAGACUCCUUGUCCCCAACCUUUGAAUUCUCCAGGCCCAGAGCAGCAACAGCCAAGUCUUUUGCUGCUGUCCACGGGUCUGAACAUAUUCUUAUGCCAAGCCACUUCUCUUUCUACACAAAAUGGGUACACUUUCUAAGUGUGGUGGGCAAACAGUGGCUCCAAACAUGCCCAUGUCUGGAACCUGUACAUCUGUUUUGGUACAUGGCAAAAGGGACUUUGCAGAUGUCAUUAAAUUGAAGAUCUUGAGA